CAGCAGCCGCGGUAAUACAGAGGGUGCGAGCGUUAAUCGGAUUUACUGGGCGUAAAGCGUGCGUAGGCGGCUUUUUAAGUCGGAUGUGAAAUCCCUGAGCUUAACUUAGGAAUUGCAUUCGAUACUGGGAAGCUAGAGUAUGGGAGAGGAUGGUAGAAUUUCAGGUGUAGCGGUGAAAUGCGUAGAGAUCUGGAGGAAUACCGAUGGCGAAGGCAGCCAUCUGGCCUAAUACUGACGCUGAGGUACGAAAGCAUGGGGAGCAAACAGGAUUAGAUACCCCGGUAGUCCCUGUCUCUUAUAC
This 301-nucleotide ribosomal RNA is filed under the name uncultured bacterium. RNAcentral's name for it is "partial 16S ribosomal RNA". It matches the Rfam family "Bacterial small subunit ribosomal RNA", at positions 509 to 807 of the family's 1533-position model. The record is from RNAcentral.